GCAGAUAUGGCCGAGUGGUUUAAGGCGAUGGUUUUAAGUUAUAAACACUUAAUUCACCAUUAUCGAGAGAUUCGUGGGUUCGAAUCCCACUGUCUGCA
Molecule: transfer RNA, 98 nt
Organism: Coniochaeta ligniaria NRRL 30616
Lineage: Eukaryota; Fungi; Ascomycota; Sordariomycetes; Coniochaetales; Coniochaetaceae
Rfam family: tRNA
About the family: Transfer RNA (tRNA) molecules are approximately 80 nucleotides in length. Their secondary structure includes four short double-helical elements and three loops (D, anti-codon, and T loops).
Source: Rfam